GAAGCAGCAGUAGGGAUCUUCGGCAUGGACGAAAGUCUGACCGAGCAACGCCGCGUGAGUGAAGAAGGUUUUCGGAUCGUAAAACUCUGUUGUUAGAGAAGAACAAGGACGUUAGUAACUGAACGUCCCCUGACGGUAUCUAACCAGAAAGCCACGGCUAACUACGUGCCAGCAGCCGCGGUAAUACGUAGGUGGCAAGCGUUGUCCGGAUUUAUUGGGCGUAAAGCGAGCGCAGGCGGUUUCUUAAGUCUGAUGUGAAAGCCCCCGGCUCAACCGGGGAGGGUCAUUGGAAACUGGGAGACUUGAGUGCAGAAGAGGAGAGUGGAAUUCCAUGUGUAGCGGUGAAAUGCGUAGAUAUAUGGAGGAACACCAGUGGCGAAGGCGGCUCUCUGGUCUGUAACUGACGCUGAGGCUCGAAAGCGUGGGGAGCAAACAGGAUUAGAUACCCUGGUAGUCCACGCCGUAAACGAUGAGUGCUAAGUGUUGGAGGGUUUCCGCCCUUCAGUGCUGCAGCAAACGCAUUAAGCACUCCGCCUGGGGAGUACGACCGCAAGGUUGAAACUCAAAGGAAUUGACGGGGGCCCGCACAAGCGGUGGAGCAUGUGGUUUAAUUCGAAACAACGCGAA
This 627-nucleotide ribosomal RNA is filed under the name Enterococcus faecalis. RNAcentral describes it as "bacterial SSU rRNA". It matches the Rfam family "Bacterial small subunit ribosomal RNA", at positions 345 to 965 of the family's 1533-position model. Lineage: Bacteria; Bacillati; Bacillota; Bacilli; Lactobacillales; Enterococcaceae. The record is from RNAcentral.